AUUGAACGCUGGCGGAAUGCUUUACACAUACAAGUCGAACGGCAGCACGGACUUCGGUCUGGUGGCGAGUGGCGAACGGGUGAGUAACAUAUCGGAACGUAUCCAAUAAUGGGGGAUAACUAAUCGAAAGGUUGGCUAAUACCGCAUACGCCCUACGGGGGAAAGCUAGGGACCUUCGGGCCUGGCGUUAAUAGAGCGGCCGAUAUCUGAUUAGCUAGUUGGUGGGGUAAAGGCCCACCAAGGCGACGAUCAGUAGCUGGUCUGAGAGGACGACCAGCCACACUGGAACUGAGACACGGUCCAGACCCCUACGGGAGGCAGCAGUGGGGAAUUUUGGACAAUGGGCGCAAGCCUGAUCCAGCCAUUCCGCGUGAGUGAAGAAGGCCUUCGGGUUGUAAAGCUCUUUCGCAAGGGAAGAAAACUUACCCUCUAACAUAGGGUGAGGUUGACGGUACCUUGAUAAGAAGCACCGGCUAACUACGUGCCAGCAGCCGCCGUAA
RNAcentral lists this ribosomal RNA (500 nucleotides) under uncultured bacterium. RNAcentral describes it as "partial 16S ribosomal RNA". It matches the Rfam family "Bacterial small subunit ribosomal RNA", at positions 30 to 523 of the family's 1533-position model. The record is from RNAcentral.